UUUGCCCCCCGCCCCGUCUCUCUUCUUUGCGGGGCACCCCGGCCAGUCUGAACCGGUUGUGACUGAGUGAGCGGGGAAGGAGAAGGAGGCGGAGGAGAUGGAGGUGGAAAGGCGGCGGUAGGGGCGCUGCUCCCGCUCUCGCGGCUCCCGGCCGGGCCGGGCCGGCCAGGAGGAGGGAGGGCACUGCGGGGGCCGCUGCCCGGGCCCAGCUCCGGCCCGGAGCCACCAAGGCCGCGGGAGAGCGAGGCACCGCCGGCCACGGGCCCUCUCGGUGCGCGCACGAGCGCGUCCCCCGGCGCCGCUGCGCCCCGCCGCCCACCGCGUGCCCGCGCCGGCCCGCCCAGGACAGUGUGCAUUUGGAGGGAGCCCGGGUCUGAGGAUGAGUGCGAGUCUCCCCGGGUCUCCCAGGUUCCUGGACGGCAGGGCGCCCUCCUGGCCGGAGCUGUAUCCCCAGCUGGCAGUGAUCCCAGAGAGACGGGCACCAGAACUUUGUGGAGUCGGUGCUCCUGGGCAGUGAGGAGUGAGGAUGUCAAGUGCUGCCCUUUGUGACAGCUCUAUGGGAAAGGGGGGCGCCCCUGAAGUGCACAUAGUGUGCUGAGGGAGAGAGGCUGCAUCUGAGGACGUUUAGUCUGUAUGGCAGGUCUUUCUGAGAAGGGACACCAUAUCUUCUACCAGCUUCUCAGAGGGGGCUGGGACCACCCAUCACCGAAAUGAACAUUUCCUUUAGACACUGAACCUCCUCUAAUUCUCACCUAGACAAAGACCCUACACCUUGCAAAGGGUUGGUUUCUGAAGUCCAAAUGAAGCUGCAUAAGCUUCCUGAGCCGCGGUUUUUCAUCUUGCACGUGUCCAGAAGUCUGUGUGAGAUGAAAGUUCCCAAAACACCUGUGGACCCUGGCCACGCCGGCGAGUGUUCUUACAGGGUUUUGUUCAGGAUUCAAAUUCCCAGAAGAGAAAGUGUGACUGGCCCGGUUUGGGCAAUGUAACCAUCUCACUCAGAGGAAGACAAGACACUUUGAGAGGACUCUCCAAAAGCAAAUUGGGAUGUUGACUAGCCUAAACACAAUAAAUGUCCUCUACAGUGGGUUAGACCCUGUGUCUUUAUAUGAAGGCAUUCUCCAGGAAGCAAAGAGGAACCACUGAAGGAUUCUAAACAGUGGAUGACAUGGUUGGCUUUGUGUUUCAUAACCAUCACUCUUGGAAACCACGUUGGAAGAUGGACUGGGAGAGAAAGUGGUUAGAGGCUGAUUUAACAGCCGAGGCAAAAAUAUAUAUUUGAAAAUUUAACACCUAGAGAAUUUUGAAAUAAGGGGACCAAUCUGAGAGAUUAAGAAGUGCCAUGAAACUGAUGGGUGUGGGGAUUAGUGGAAAGAAAGGUUGGGGAUGGAUUCUGGGUUUCCCAUAAGAGCUUAUAAAGAAUUGCUGUAAAAUUAACGGAAGUGUGCCUCCCACUGCAGGAUCCUCUAGAAUAGUCCAAAUUUCAAAUAUUGAAUCUCAUUGUUCUAAUAAAACAUAAAAACAAUUCCAAGAAACUCCAAUUUAAAAUAUAUUUCCAAGAUUUCUUUUGCAAUUGGAUAUGGUGGAAAGUUCUUUUGUCUGACUCAAAUUUCCUGAUCUAUGGUUUGGAUAAUAUGAUCAUAGGUAGGUGAACAUAUGCAACAGAAACAAAGAGCAAGAAACCUAUUCAAUACCAGUACAGUGAGUAGUGGUACGUGCAAAGUACACGCCAAAGUUUUACUGGAAAAAGGCUUGUCCUCACCGAGAAGAGUCAGUGUUGAUUAUUAGGUUAAAGUGACCUUAGGGGCUUCCCUGGUGGCGCAGUGGUUGAGAGUCUGCCUGCC
This is a non-coding RNA of Delphinapterus leucas (beluga whale), 1841 nucleotides long. NCBI's taxonomy places the organism in Eukaryota, Metazoa, Chordata, Mammalia, Artiodactyla, Monodontidae. The record is from RefSeq and is a predicted model, not a curated record.